Molecule: ribosomal RNA, 502 nt
Filed under: uncultured bacterium
Lineage: Bacteria
Description: bacterial SSU rRNA
Rfam family: Bacterial small subunit ribosomal RNA
Source: RNAcentral
GACGAACGCUGGCGGCGUGGAUUAGGCAUGCAAGUCGAACGGUAUCAUCCUUUCGGGGGUGAGAGAGUGGCGAACUGGUGAGUAACACGUAGGUUAUCUACCCUCAAGACGGGGACAACCCAGGGAAACUUGGGCUAAUACCGGAUGUGAGCAACUUUUAGUUGUUUGAAAGGUGGCGUAAGCUGUCGCUUGGGGAUGAGCCUGCGUCCUAUUAGUUAGUUGGUGAGGUAACGGCUCACCUAGGCAAUGAUAGGUAGGCGGCCUUAACGGGUGGUCGCCCACACUGGGAUUGAGAUACGGCCCAGACUCCUACGGGAGGCAGCAGUCGAGAAUAGUCUACAAUGGUCGGAAGACUGAUAGUGCGACGCCGCGUGAACGAUGAAUCCCUUCGGGGUGUAAAGUUCUUUUAUAUGUGAGCAGUGCUUCUUAUAUUAAACAGUAUGGGGAAGAGAUAUUAGCAUAUGAAUAAGCAACGGCUAAACUCCGUGCCAGCAGCCGCGGU